UGGACCAUGUAACAUACUUUAGGGAAGAGAGAUGUGCAGCUAUCUGAUGCUUUUAAAUUUCUGUGUGUGUUGUGACCAGUGAUGUCAGAACAUCACAUUCUCUCGGUUCAUUAUUUCAAAAGUCCAAGAUGGGAUGGAAUGAAGUUCUCCACUUCAGAGAAGAGCAAGAGAGUGAGCUCAAGAAGGAGAAGUGGCAGGUAGAGG
This is a long non-coding RNA of Neogale vison (American mink), 204 nucleotides long. RefSeq lists it as uncharacterized. Lineage: Eukaryota; Metazoa; Chordata; Mammalia; Carnivora; Mustelidae. The record is from RefSeq and is a predicted model, not a curated record. The transcript is spliced from 3 exons.